This 490-nucleotide ribosomal RNA is filed under the name uncultured bacterium. RNAcentral's name for it is "bacterial SSU rRNA". It matches the Rfam family "Bacterial small subunit ribosomal RNA", at positions 28 to 510 of the family's 1533-position model. The record is from RNAcentral.
GACGAACGCUGGCGGCGUGCUUAACACAUGCAAGUCGAGCGGUAAGGCCCUUUCGGGGGUACACGAGCGGCGAACGGGUGAGUAACACGUGGGUGACCUGCCCUCAGCUCUGGGAUAAGCCUGGGAAACCGGGUCUAAUACUGGAUAUGACUCCAUGACGCAUGUUGUGGGGUGGAAAGCCUUGUGCGGCUGAGGAUGGGCCCGCGGCCUAUCAGCUUGUUGGUGGGGUGANGGCCUACCAAGGCGACGACGGGUAGCCGGCCUGAGAGGGCGACCGGCCACACUGGGACUGAGACACGGCCCAGACUCCUACGGGAGGCAGCAGUGGGGAAUAUUGGACAAUGGGGGAAACCCUGAUCCAGCGACGCCGCGUGGGUGAAGAAGGCCUGCGGGUUGUAAAGCCCUUUUCAGUGGGGAAGAAAAGCCUCGACCUAACACGUCGGGGUCUUGACGUAACCCCAUAGAAGAAGCACCGGCUAACUCUGUGCCA